CCUACGGGUGGCAGCAGUGGGGAAUAUUGCGCAAUGGGCGAAAGCCUGACGCAGCGACGCCGCGUGAGGGAUGAAGGUCUUCGGAUCGUAAACCUCUGUCAGCAGGGAAGAACGGUCACUGUGCUAAUCAGCAGUGAAUUGACGGUACCUGCAAAGGAAGCACCGGCUAACUCCGUGCCAGCAGCCGCGGUAAUACGGAGGGUGCGAGCGUUAAUCGGAAUUACUGGGCGUAAAGCGCUCGUAGGCGGUAUGUCAAGUCAAGGGUGAAAUCCCCGCGCUCAACGUGGGAACUUCCUUUGAAACUGGCAAACUGGAGUGUGUGAGAGGAUAGUGGAAUUCCAGGUGUAGGAGUGAAAGCCGUAGAUAUCUGGAGGAACAUCAGUGGAGAAGGCGACUAUCUGGCACAUAACUGACGCUGAGGAGCGAAAGCGUGGGUAGCAAACAGGAUUAGAUACCCCAGUAGUC
Molecule: ribosomal RNA, 465 nt
Filed under: uncultured bacterium
Lineage: Bacteria
Description: partial 16S ribosomal RNA
Rfam family: Bacterial small subunit ribosomal RNA
Source: RNAcentral